UGCACCAACCAUCAGCAAAUACAAUGAUGUUGAACCAAAAAUAGGAUUGUGAAGAAAGCAAGAUAGUAGCAGUGCCUUCUGCCAACUGGUGGCAAUGCUUAAAAUAAUUGCAUGCUCACAUAACAGUGACUUUAUAGUGAAAGCUCAUUCAUCCAUAAGAGUUGAGAUGUCCAAGAAAGCCUAUCAAAGACGCUCUAAACUGAUUUACUCAAAACUAAAUAUACAAUGGACAACCAUAAGAUUUGCUAAUAGUUAAUGCCAUCCCAGAGUAAAUAACACAGGAAAUUCAAAUGCUAGUGAUAGAAAGUAAUUCAUGUCAGAUGUGCUGCUCGCUAGCAUUUAUAUGCUGCUAACAGAGAGACAUCAAGCAGUUGAUCUUCAAUCUAUAAAUGUUACUGAAACCACAACAUUAUUGACAAACGUAUAAAAUAUGAA
RNAcentral lists this unclassified non-coding RNA (435 nucleotides) under Hevea brasiliensis (rubber tree). Lineage: Eukaryota; Viridiplantae; Streptophyta; Magnoliopsida; Malpighiales; Euphorbiaceae. The record is from RNAcentral.